CCAGUGGGUUCACUCACCACUUGGAGCCAGAUUGGGCCGGGGCAGACUAGGGCUGCUACUGCUGCCGCCGCCGCCACCUCCCGGAUUGCUUCCUGACAGCUGAGGAAACUAAGACCCAGAAAAAUAAGAAGACUUGCCUGUAAAAGAAGUGGCAAGAUCAGAUUCUGAACUCAAGGCCUUGGAUUUUCAUCCUUUUCCUCCAUUUCACCAUGUUUCCUUUCUUCAGGGAGGAACUGGUGGAGAGGAGGCUAGGUCUUCCAGGCAUGGGGGAACAACUUCAGUGAAUGUCUCAAGGAAAUGAUAAAGGUGGGGGGGAUGACAAAUGAACUGAUGUGAAGUGAACUGAGAAGAACUGGAAGACUGAUGGACACGAUGCUUUGCAAAAUUCUGGGGCUUGAUACAACCAUCAUGACAUCAUCUGCAAGCAGAAGCUUUUGGAGAACCGCACCAUCUACUUCUUCACUUUGGCAUAUAUGUUAUAUGGCUUUCAUCACAAUGACAAACACCUUAAGCAAGCUUUAUGUCUCACCUGAUGUUUACAAAUAAAGCAUGGUUGAACAAUGUUA
Long non-coding RNA from Antechinus flavipes (yellow-footed antechinus), 566 nucleotides. RefSeq lists it as uncharacterized. The record is from RefSeq and is a predicted model, not a curated record. Lineage: Eukaryota; Metazoa; Chordata; Mammalia; Dasyuromorphia; Dasyuridae. The transcript is spliced from 4 exons.